RNAcentral lists this ribosomal RNA (459 nucleotides) under uncultured bacterium. Its description in RNAcentral is "partial 16S ribosomal RNA". It matches the Rfam family "Bacterial small subunit ribosomal RNA", at positions 338 to 795 of the family's 1533-position model. The record is from RNAcentral.
CCUACGGGAGGCAGCAGUGAGGAAUAUUGGUCAAUGGCCGAGAGUCUGAACCAGCCAAGUCGCGUGAGGGAAGACGGCCCUACGGGUUGUAAACCUCUUUUGUCGGGGAGCAAAGCGAGUCACGUGUGACUCCUUGAGCGUACCCGAAGAAAAAGCAUCGGCUAACUCCGUGCCAGCAGCCGCGGUAAUACGGAGGAUGCGAGCGUUAUCCGGAUUUAUUGGGUUUAAAGGGUGCGUAGGCGGAAUGCCAAGUCAGCGGUAAAAUCGCGGGGCUCAACCUCGCUCCGCCGUUGAAACUGGCGUUCUUGAGUGGGCGAGAAGUAUGCGGAAUGCGUGGUGUAGCGGUGAAAUGCAUAGAUAUCACGCAGAACUCCGAUUGCGAAGGCAGCAUACCGGCGCCCAACUGACGCUGAAGCACGAAAGCGUGGGUAUCGAACAGGAUUAGAUACCCUUGUAGUC